This 1022-nucleotide long non-coding RNA is filed under the name Piliocolobus tephrosceles (Ugandan red Colobus). Its description in RNAcentral is "lncRNA (ENSPTEG00000014938.1)". Lineage: Eukaryota; Metazoa; Chordata; Mammalia; Primates; Cercopithecidae. The record is from RNAcentral.
CUGGAUUUAACAUUAAAUUUUAUAAAUAUUUGUACUAUCGAAAAAUCAGUAUCAAAUUUAAAAAAAAAUGAAAACCUAAAAGAGCUUUACCUUAUGGGUAACCCUUGUUCAAAUUGGGUAAAUCUAAAACAUUACGUUAUAUUUGAAUUGGAACAACUACAAGUAUUAGAUGGUUGUGAUAUUUUGGUGUCGGACAAGAUAAAGGCGAAGCAAGAAAUUGAUUAUGUGUUAAAAUCAUUAGAAGAAGAAAAAAAAAAAAAUAAUAAAGUAGAAUAUUCUGAUUCAAUUAAUGAAAGAAAAAAAAAUGUAUGAAGAAAUUGAGAAAAAAGAAAUGGAGAAAAGAAAUGAUAAUAACGAUUCUAAAAAAAAUGAAAAAAAAAAAUUAUCGAUAUAUACAAGUGACGGAAAUAUUCGACAGUGUAAUGAAGGCCACUACAAGUAUAUGUUCGACGAACAUUCAAGUCGGAAGUAUACUUUUUUUAAAAAUAUAUGUACCUAAAUAUUUGUGCAACUCUUUAAUAAAAAUUGAUAUAAAUAUUAAUUAUGUCAGAUGUAUAAUUAAGGAUAAAUUGUUUCAAAUAAAAUUAAACGAUUUAAUAUUAACAGAUUUGAGUAAAAUAAUGAGAAAAAAAUAUACUGGUGAAUUAGAAAUAAAACUUAGAAAAAAAAUUAUAGAAAAAAUAAAACUUUCGAAAAGACAUGUUCUAAUGAAGAAUGUUAUAGUGAGGUAUGGCCAACGAACAAAACAAAAAUGUAUUUAACAAUGCAAAAAAAAAGUUAUAUAAAUCGAUAUUAUCACCAACAAGUAAUUUAAGUUUUUUAUCUUCUUCUCACCCUUUUCAUCCUUCUUAUUUUUCUGAUUCUUCUGAUUCAUCGGACUCGUCAACUUCUUCAUCUUCUGUAUUCUUUAACAACCAAAAACUAAACUCUUCCUCUUAUAAAGAACAAAAAAAAAAGAAAAACUCAAGUAGUUGUAAUUUUACUAUACCUAAUAAAAGAGAAGAUGUAUACUUGAUGGAACA